CCUACGGGGGGCAGCAGUGAGGAAUAUUGGUCAAUGGACGCGAGCCUGAACCAGCCAAGUCGCGUGAAGGAUGACGGCCCUACGAGUUGUAAACUUCUUUUAUACAGGAGUAAAGUGAGGCACGUGUACCUGUUUGUAUGUACUUUAUGAAUAAGGAUCGGCUAACUCCGUGCCAGCAGCCGCGGUAAUACGGAGGAUCCGAGCGUUAUCCGGAUUUAUUGGGUUUAAAGGGAGCGUAGAUGGUUUGUUAAGUUAGUUGUGAAAGUUUGGGGCUCAACCCGAAAAUUGCAACUUAUACUGGUAGGCUUGAGUACAGUUGAGGUAGGCGGAAUGCGUGGUGUAGCGGUGAAAUGCUUAGAUAUCACGAAGAACGCCGAUUGCGAAGGCAGCUUACCAAACUGCCACUGACAUUGAUGCUCGAAAGUGUGGGUAUCAAACAGGAUUAGAUACCCUGGUAGUC
RNAcentral lists this ribosomal RNA (460 nucleotides) under uncultured bacterium. Its description in RNAcentral is "partial 16S ribosomal RNA". It matches the Rfam family "Bacterial small subunit ribosomal RNA", at positions 338 to 795 of the family's 1533-position model. The record is from RNAcentral.